RNAcentral lists this long non-coding RNA (436 nucleotides) under Setaria viridis. Its description in RNAcentral is "long non-coding RNA (SVIR_LNC003753)". The record is from RNAcentral. Lineage: Eukaryota; Viridiplantae; Streptophyta; Magnoliopsida; Poales; Poaceae.
GUUCAUUCUCUCUCCUUUUAAUUUUUCUACCACAUCAUCAGAUUAGCUAAUGUGUCACUGUAUUUAAUGCGCAUGAAACUCCUAUGAAACUACCACUGGGAAUAGCCUUAGAAUCUUGAUAUAUUGUAAUGUCUACAUUCUCUAUAAAUUUUGACACUGAUUCGAGUGAUACUGUGUGGGUUGAUCAAUAGAAAUAAUAUUAUUGGAUUUAUUGUGAAAAUGAUGAAAUAUGUUAAUCUAAUUAUAUACUUUUAUGACCAAGUUCAAAUAGGAUGUACUGUACAUUUAUAGAGGAGCAGUGAUCAUUGUUACUACCAUAACUACUAACUUUUUAUGAAACAUAAUAUAGAUGCAAACACUUAUAGUAUAUAUAUGCACACACACUCACCCAUCACAUUAUUACAAACACCUUACUGUUGAAAGGCACGUCACCUAC